Molecule: ribosomal RNA, 465 nt
Filed under: uncultured bacterium
Lineage: Bacteria
Description: partial 16S ribosomal RNA
Rfam family: Bacterial small subunit ribosomal RNA
Source: RNAcentral
CCUACGGGAGACAGCAGUAGGGAAUCUUCCACAAUGGACGAAAGUCUGAUGGAGCAACGCCGCGUGAGUGAAGAAGGGUUUCGGCUCGUAAAGCUCUGUUGGUAGUGAAGAAAGAUAGAGGUAGUAACUGUCCUUUAUUUGACGGUAAUUACUUAGAAAGUCACGGCUAACUACGUGCCAGCAGCCGCGGUAAUACGUAGGUGGCAAGCGUUGUCCGGAUUUAUUGGGCGUAAAGGGAGUGCAGGCGGUUCAAUAAGUCUGAUGUGAAAGCCUUCGGCUCAACCGGAGAAUUGCAUCAGAAACUGUUGGACUUGAGUGCAGAAGAGGAGAGUGGAACUCCAUGUGUAGCGGUGGAAUGCGUAGAUAUAUGGAAGAACACCAGUGGCGAAGGCGGCUCUCUGGUCUGCAACUGACGCUGAGGCUCGAAAGCAUGGGUAGCGAACAGGAUUAGAUACCCCUGUAGUC